RNAcentral lists this ribosomal RNA (500 nucleotides) under uncultured bacterium. RNAcentral describes it as "partial 16S ribosomal RNA". It matches the Rfam family "Bacterial small subunit ribosomal RNA", at positions 30 to 523 of the family's 1533-position model. The record is from RNAcentral.
AUUGAACGCCGGCGGCAUGCCUUACACAUGCAAGUCGAACGGCAGCACGGGAGCAAUCCUGGUGGCGAGUGGCGAACGGGUGAGUAAAGUAUCGGAACGUGCCCAGUCGUGGGGGAUAACGUAGCGAAAGUUACGCUAAUACCGCAAACGAUCUAUGGAUGAAAGCGGGGGAUCGCAAGACCUCGCGCGAUUGGAGCGGCCGAUAUCAGAUUAGGUAGUUGGUGGGGUAAAGGCUCACCAAGCCGACGAUCUGUAGCUGGUCUGAGAGGAAGACCAGCCACACUGGGACUGAGACACGGCCCAGACUCCUACGGGAGGCAGCAGUGGGGAAUUUUGGACAAUGGGCGAAAGCCUGAUCCAGCCAUGCCGCGUGCAGGAUGAAGGCCUUCGGGUUGUAAACUGCUUUUGUACGGAACGAAAAGGUUUGGCCUAAUAAGCUGAGCUCAUGACGGUACCGUAAGAAUAAGCACCGGCUAACUACGUGCCAGCCGCCGCUGUAA